Molecule: ribosomal RNA, 459 nt
Filed under: Triticum aestivum (bread wheat)
Lineage: Eukaryota; Viridiplantae; Streptophyta; Magnoliopsida; Poales; Poaceae
Description: partial small subunit ribosomal RNA
Source: RNAcentral
AUGCCACACCGUGCAAGCCCCGAUGGAGGCAUGGCUCAAGCUCAGCAAGGAGAGCGCCGAGAAGCCGGUGGACGCAACGUUGUACCGCACCAUCUCGAAAGCCUUAGGUAUCUCGUGCAUACCCGACCGAAUAUCUCGUUCACUGUCGGGUUCCUGAGUAGGUUCAUGGAAGCCCCGACAAGCGAUCAUCUCGCUGCCCUCAAACACCUGCUCUGGUACAUCUCAGGCACGAUCACGCACGAAUGCGUGUAUCGCCGUGGUGGCAGCGAGAACCUGGUCGACUACAGGGACUCCGACCACGUUGGCAACAUUGUCUCCAGGAAGAGCACCUCUGCCAUAAUGUUCUUCCUUGGGAGCAGUCCCGUUAGCUGGCAAUCGAUGAGGCAGAAGGUUGUCGCGACUUCUUCGUGCGAGGCGGAGUACAUCACGGCAACAACAGCGGCAUGUCAGGGAAUCUAG